CCUACGGGAGGCAGCAGUGAGGAAUAUUGGUCAAUGGACGAGAGUCUGAACCAGCCAAGUAGCGUGAAGGAUGACUGCCCUAUGGGUUGUAAACUUCUUUUAUAAAGGAAUAAAACGAGGCACGUGUGCCUUUUUGCAUGUACUUUAUGAAUAAGGAUCGGCUAACUCCGUGCCAGCAGCCGCGGUAAUACGGAGGAUGCGGGCGUUAUCCGGAUUUAUUGGGUUUAAAGGGUGCGUAGGCGGGCUGUUAAGUUAGCGGGAAAAGCCCGGGGCUCAACCCCGGCGAGCCGUUGAAACUGGCUGGCUUGAGAUGUCGAGAGGUAUGCGGAAUGCGCAGUGUAGCGGUGAAAUGCUUAGAUAUUGCGCAGAACUCCGAUUGCGAAGGCAGCAUACCGGCGGCGAUCUGACGCUGAGGCACGAAAGCGUGGGUAUCGAACAGGAUUAGAUACCCUUGUAGUC
RNAcentral lists this ribosomal RNA (459 nucleotides) under uncultured bacterium. RNAcentral describes it as "partial 16S ribosomal RNA". It matches the Rfam family "Bacterial small subunit ribosomal RNA", at positions 338 to 795 of the family's 1533-position model. The record is from RNAcentral.